AUAAUACUCCCUCCGUCCCAUAUUAAGUGACUCAAAUUUGUCUAAAAAUGGAUGUAUCUAUAUGCUAAAAUACGUCUAGAUACAUGGAAUACUUCAGCACUUAAUAUGGGACGGAGGGAGUAGUAC
Molecule: non-coding RNA, 126 nt
Organism: Brachypodium distachyon (stiff brome)
Lineage: Eukaryota; Viridiplantae; Streptophyta; Magnoliopsida; Poales; Poaceae
Source: Rfam